This 484-nucleotide ribosomal RNA is filed under the name uncultured bacterium. Its description in RNAcentral is "partial 16S ribosomal RNA". It matches the Rfam family "Bacterial small subunit ribosomal RNA", at positions 28 to 507 of the family's 1533-position model. The record is from RNAcentral.
GAUUAACGCUAGCGGCAGGCAUAAUACAUGCAAGUUGAACGGCAGCACAGGUAGCAAUACUGGGUGGCGAGUGGCGCACGGGUGCGUAACACGUAUGCAACCUACCCUAUACAGGCGAAUAACCUUUAGAAAUGAGGGCUAAUACGCCGUAGUAUUACAGAUGAGCAUCUAUUUGUAAUUAAAGAUUUAUCGGUAUAGGAUGGGCAUGCGUCCCAUUAGUUAGUUGGUAAGGUAACGGCUUACCAAGACGAUGAUGGGUAGGGGAUCUGAGAGGACUUACCCCCACACUGGUACUGAGACACGGACCAGACUCCUACGGGAGGCAGCAGUAAGGAAUAUUGGGCAAUGGCCGCGAGGCUGACCCAGCCAUGCCGCGUGCAGGAAGACGGCCUUAUGGGUUGUAAACUGCUUUUAUACGGGAAUAAUAGAGUGUACGCGUACAUUUAUGCAAGUAUCGUAUGAAUAAGCAUCGGCUAACUCCGUG